UACGUAGGGUGCGAGCGUUGUCCGGAAUUAUUGGGCGUAAAGAGCUCGUAGGCGGUGUGUCACGUCGGCCGUGAAAACCUACAGCUUAACUGUGGGCGUGCGGUCGAUACGGGCAUCACUGGAGUUCGGCAGGGGAGACUGGAAUUCCUGGUGUAGCGGUGAAAUGCGCAGAUAUCAGGAGGAACACCGGUGGCGAAGGCGGGUCUCUGGGCCGAUACUGACGCUGAGGAGCGAAAGCGUGGGGAGCGAACAGG
Molecule: ribosomal RNA, 254 nt
Filed under: uncultured bacterium
Lineage: Bacteria
Description: partial 16S ribosomal RNA
Rfam family: Bacterial small subunit ribosomal RNA
Source: RNAcentral